Molecule: long non-coding RNA, 3785 nt
Organism: Equus caballus (horse)
Lineage: Eukaryota; Metazoa; Chordata; Mammalia; Perissodactyla; Equidae
Source: Ensembl
UUCCUCCUCGUCAUCGUCUUCCAGGUUUUCUGUCAAGCAAAAUCCAGACAGAGAUGAAAUAGUGCCCCUUCACCCGUUACAGACACAAAGGCCUGCCUGGGCACGGACAGCAAUGACCUGUGUAUGAGGGCAGGACACACUGAGAGAAUUGCACUGACAGCCCCAUGUGUGACUUUGAAGGAAUGGCCUGGGAUGGUGUCCUGACGCAUCAGGCAAAAUGUCCUUGAUCUGCUGGCUCCCCAUCAUGGCGUGCUCUGAGUUUAACUGGGUAAAGAUCAAAUAUCUUUUGUCUCCAGGUCAUUGGGUAGUUGUCCAGUUUCCCUCUGGAAUUCUCUAGUUCUCUCCUCCUCCUUCCACAAAGCUGGCUCCCAGUCUCAGUGACUCUAUGUCCACUCAGAACGCCCACAUAGACCCUACUCCUUUCUCUAAAAGGAGGAUAGAAAACCCCAUGACUCACCCCUCCAUACAUCCCGGGACUUCACGGGGACCUCCAAGUUGGCUUUUACAUCAUAAGAGGGAAAAAUUUUCUUGUGGAAAGUGUUCUGUUACAAAUCAACGUAUCUGCCCCAAGAUUUUCAGAUUAUAACUAAAUAAACCCCAAACAGUUAGGAGUAUGAUCCCUUUCUGAAGCACAUUCAUGAGCAUUCCCUUCUUUAGUAGUUACAGCUACCAGGCGACACAUCUUUUGACCCAUUUUACAGAUGAGGAGACAGAAAUCCAGGAAGGAGAAAUCAAAUACUCGCCUGUAGCUAUAAAAGCCAGAGCUCAGGCAAGAGCCUGAGGAGCUCUAGCUCAGUCCAGGAUUCUUUUCACUCUAACAAGCUGCCUCCUGUCACGUCCUCCUUUGUGUGCUGUGACACCAGGUGGAGGCUGCCUCCUGCCCCAAAGGGCACGGUCCCUCAGGGCGGAAGCAGGCUCUUGGAGCACUAUGAUGUCCCCCUGUGCAUUUCUCCCCUCUGCUCCCACCCAGCCAGUCGUGGUCCUGUCAUGGCUCCAAGUGCGAUGUGGACACCAGGACAGCUGGUGAAAGUGUUAUGAGGGGAGAUUCCGAGGCUCUUGUCAGCCAGGGACCUUGGAGGGGCUCAGCGCAAUCAGGGCUUCUGGCCGCCUUACCUGGGCUAAGCUUGCGGACAAGCUCCCAGCUGAGCCCAGAGGCACAAAGAUAACAGAAUAUUAAACGAGGAAAGACUGGACACCGCAACUUCCCCACUGGUUCUGAUUGGAAGACUAAGGGAGAGGUCACAGAAGAUUCCGUAUAGAGGUGGAGAAAAAGAAACCCUCCUAGACUGUUGUUGGGAAUAUAAAUUGGUGCAGCCACUGUGGAAAACAGUCUGGAGGUUUCUCAAAACCUUUAGAAAGACAGCUUUUUUUCAGAGAAAGUCUGACAAACUGUAGUCAGUCAGGAGGUGAUUGUGAUUAAAGGUAAAUGCGGUAGUGAUUGCACCACAUCCUGAAUGUCCUAAAUGCCAAUGAAUGCUUCACUCGAAUUUAGCCAACUUUAGGUUCUGUGAAUUUCACCUCAAUAAGUUUUAUUUUAAAAAAAGACUCAAGGAACCUUUGAGUAAUUGGAGUCCAUAGUUUACCAAUUAUUGUUCUCUAAUGGUGUUAUGCAAAUUCGUAUGCAUGUGGCUGCCAUGAAAAUUUGGGCCAUUCUCCUGGCCCAGAGUUGCUCCUUGCCCCCUUCAGAGAUGCCUACAACUUCCCAGCAGACGUCCAGCACAGAGCCCCGCUUACUUGAGCUUCUCCGCUAACGUUGACUUCUCUGUGGGCUUCCCCUCCUGGAACUGCAGCUUCUCCCCCAGCACCGAUUCAAUGAUGUCUUUGCACGCUCCAGACUCUGAGGAAAGACAGAGAGGCCGGCCUCAGUGGAAAGCUGGCCAUGCUGCUGGGGUGACUGCCUGCAAGGGAGGAGGCAGGCUUCCAUCUCUUCUCUCAGAGGCAGAUAGAACCCCAGCACCAGGCUCUCCACUGAGAUUUCCACCUUCUAUUGCUCAGCCUCCCAAAUACACGGCAUUUGGUCACUCCUCAUUUGACAGCUGAGCAAAGAGAAGCUCCAAGGCAGAGAAAGUGACCAGACAAGAUUAGCUGACGUUUGGCAAGCUCAGAAUUCACAUGCCCUGAGACUGACGCCGAGUCCUGGGCCACUUUACCAAGACUUGCAGCCUCUUGAGUAAAACACUAAGCAGCGGCAUGAAGUGGCGAUCCCUGUGUGCUCGGGAAGGCCCCUGGGCCUACUGAUUGUUGGGCCCUCUGAGCUCAGAAUUUCAAGGACAAGUACCUUCACGAUGAAAUAUAAAUGUAUACGAAUGCAAUUCUGAAAAAUACAAGGCAUAACCAUCAAUCCCUGAAGGAAAUAGGCACAGGCUGUAGAAGUUGUUUUCAAUUCCAAGUAGUACAAGAAAGAACUAAUAAAUAGUGUUUCCUGUGUGUCAAGAACUGUUUUAGUAACUUUACAGAAAUAACUCAUGUGAUUCAUUGCAACCGCUCAAAGAAGUAGGCACUAUGACAGGGCCAUACUAACAGAGGAGGAAACCGUGAGGCUCAGAAAAAGCCACAGCUUGGAUCUGAGCCCAGGAAGAGUAGCUCAGUCUUCACCAAUGCACUGUGUUACCUCGCCACAAGAUCUUGGGUGACAUCUUUCUCCUUCAUCAUCUUCAAAAUUUGUUUCCUACAGUUAUGUUACGCCUAUAAAAAAAAGCUGUAAGGAAAACUUAGUCCUUUCUCAAAACCUCAUCUCUUCACUUUCUUAAAAAGCAGGUUUCAAUGUUUACUUUUCUCUGCGUCAGUCAUUUGAAGUUCACCACUCCCACGAUGGUUUAUUGGAAAAUAACACCCAUCCAGACUCAGAGUCGUCAAGAUCCCUUCUACUCACUCUGUUUGGCACGAGGCCCUGUUCUCACGAUCCCUUUCGUCACCACAGCCCCUCUUACUGAACAGCCCAGACCCUCAAGGUCACCCGGACCUGCUGGCAGUCCUGCAUCACCAAAGGUUCACCAGCUCAGAGAGACACAGAAGAGGGGGUACGGAUUGUCUCAUUUCCCCAGAGACACCCUCUACCUCACCCCAAGAGGCAAAGUGGCUUCCUUGGCCUCAGAAAGAAAAGCCUGUGCUCAGGAAGCAUGGCUUCCCGCUCAGCAGGGUCGUCUCUGUCUGGAUGGCGUCACUCAUGGAUACCACAGUGUCACCGAGGAGCACACUCAUCUUCAGGCUCCUGUAAAGCAGGGAACAUCACCUGCUUCCCCCGGUGUGUACCAUCACCCCAUCUCCCCAGUGUAAGGAGCACAGAGCUUUGCCAGUGGGACCUCAGAGAAGCCUGAACUGAUGGAGCUCAUUAGUCCCGGACACUUAGGCCAAGAGUGAUGCAGGAUCUGAUUCCGUACACGGAGGAUGCUGGGAGAAACAGGUUAGCCUGCUCCAGAGGGAAACACGCAGUGCUGUGACUGCACCAGGAAUCAGUCACUGGGAUUUUACCUAAUCCCACCCUACACCUCACUGCCAAUCUGGAAAAGUCCCUCAACUUUUUGGGCCUCGGUUUGUCCAUGCUCAGCAAACUGAGGGUAAAAUACCCACUUGCACCUUCCCUGGACUGUGGUCACAAUGAAGUUUGUGUUGCCUCAGGGAACAGAAGAAAAGGUCUGGAGAGUUUUUAGUUUCUUAGGGGGACACGGUGGUCACUCAUCCCUCUGCUGACCAUGACCCUGUAGGACUUACUGUAUUUCUGCAGCUGGUUGGCCAGGAUGUAGGACAGUGGACUCAGAGACAAGGAACUUCUGUUUGAGGUCUCG